RNAcentral lists this ribosomal RNA (331 nucleotides) under uncultured eukaryote. RNAcentral describes it as "partial 18S ribosomal RNA". It matches the Rfam family "Eukaryotic small subunit ribosomal RNA", at positions 1470 to 1796 of the family's 1831-position model. The record is from RNAcentral.
CCCUUAGAUGUUCUGGGCCGCACGCGCGCUACACUGACGAAGUCAGCGAGCAUGUCCUACGCCGACAGGUGCGGGGAAUCUUGUCAAACUUCGUCGUGAUGGGGAUUGAUUAUUGAAAUUCUUGAUCAUCAACGAGGAAUUCCUAGUAAGCGCAAGUCAGCAGCUUGCGUUGAUUACGUCCCUGCCCUUUGUACACACCGCCCGUCGCUACUACCGAUUGAAUGGUUUAGUGAGAUCUUCGAAUUGGCGCCACUGCGGCUCAGCAAUGGGCUCGGUGGAUGCCGAAAAGUUGAUCAAACUUGAUCAUUUAGAGGAAGUAAAAGUCGUAACA